This 477-nucleotide ribosomal RNA is filed under the name Neoserica sp. 839459. RNAcentral's name for it is "partial 16S large subunit ribosomal RNA". It matches the Rfam family "Bacterial large subunit ribosomal RNA", at positions 1844 to 2578 of the family's 2925-position model. Lineage: Eukaryota; Metazoa; Arthropoda; Insecta; Coleoptera; Scarabaeidae. The record is from RNAcentral.
UUUAAAGUCUAAUCUGCCCUAUGAAGGAUUAAAUGGCCGCGGUAUUUUGACCGUGCAAAGGUAGCAUAAUAAUUAGUUUUUUAAUUGAAAGCUGGAAUGAAUGAUUGGACGAGAAAAUUACUGUCUCAAUUUAAUUUUAUUAGAAUUUUAUUUUUAAGUAAAAAAGCUUAAAUGUUAUUAAAAGACGAGAAGACCCUAUAGAGUUUUAUAAGUAAUUAUUUAUAAAUUUUUAAGAAUUAUUUUAUUAAUAUUUAAUUACUUAUUUUGUUGGGGCGAUAGAAAAAUAUUAUAAACUUUUUUUUAAAAUAAAUAAACAUUAAUUUAUGAUUUAUUGAUCCAUUAUGUAUGAUUAAAAGAUUAAGUUACCUUAGGGAUAACAGCGUAAUUUUUUUCUAGAGUUCUUAUCGAAAGAAAAGAUUGCGACCUCGAUGUUGGAUUAAAAUUUAUGUUUGGUGUAGAAGCUAGACAAUUAGGUCU